Hypanus sabinus (Atlantic stingray) is the source of this 1545-nucleotide long non-coding RNA. RefSeq lists it as uncharacterized. NCBI's taxonomy places the organism in Eukaryota, Metazoa, Chordata, Chondrichthyes, Myliobatiformes, Dasyatidae. The transcript is spliced from 2 exons. The record is from RefSeq and is a predicted model, not a curated record.
GCAGUAGUUAGCAGCUUAAAACCUCAGAAGGAUAAAACUGCAGGCGGGUGAUAUGCUCACAACUUUCAAGAUGGAACAUUAAUGUGGAAAAGUACAUGAAGCUGGAAGCAGAUUUGUGAACAGAAAACGAACCAACCCAUGAGCGGAAUCUCACUAUUUUUGAUCUCUUUUUGCACUAUUUGCUUAUAUAUAUAUAAAAUAAGAUAAACAGUAUAUAUAUAUAUAUUAUUUCAGUAUUCUUAUGGAUUACUCUGUACCACUGCCACAAAGUAACAAAUUUCAUGAAUACGUCAGUGAUAUUAAACCAGCUUCUGACUGUGAUUCUGAAAUGUUGUUAUUGGCACUUAAUUCAAAGACAUUGGGACAGGGAUUGACCAUGCUGUCCAGACUGGACUAUAGGUAGCAAUCAAAAUGAUCAGUUGCUCACAGUGCUCUGGCUGCACCACAGAGAGGAGAGAGGGGACCGGUGGAGUGAGGAUCAGCAGUAAGAAAUCUGCAGAGAGUUUUGUAACCCAGGAUAAUUAAACCCAAAGUUGUAGUGCUAGAAACUUCUACCUGCAGAGGCACGAAGAUGGAAUUUACCAAUUUAAAAAAGGAGAAUUUGAAAAAAAUGCUAUGCAAGGGUGGGGCUUGGCUGGACAUAGGACAGACAAGGAGAGAAACACAGCAAAGAUUAGAAGCUGAAGACAUGAACGGUUAAGAGUGAAAUUAAUAACGAGAAUCUUUACCCUACUAACUUGAAAUCCCUGGAGGAAAGACAAUAACAUUGAAAGAUUUAUCGAAGCUAUAGCUGUAACAUGCAAGGAGCUUUAACGAGACAAUAUCAGCAGAGACCAGUAUCCAAAAUCCUAGUUGGGAAUUAGUUCUACAAAAUAAUAUCAAGGGACUUGGUCAAGUUUUUGUACAAGUUUGUGAAUUGAUUUUCCAUGGAUGCUAAACUAUUUCAUUCCAAUCAACCAAGAAUCAAGAUGGCAGCCACCCAAGGUGAAGAACCAGUACGGGAAGAAAAUGUGUAGUGGUGCAGAUGAUUUAAUACAGAUGGAUGUACUGUAGAAGUUUUUUUCAUUCGAAGAAUCUGCAUUUGAUUUUCUGCAAGAACUGAUUAUUUUUACAAAGACUUUGAUAAGUUACUGAAUAAGAUUUGCUUGGUUUAAGAGAGUUGUGAUGUUGGAGAAUUGUUGUGAAAGGUGUACAUGUUAUUUUUGAAUGUGAAUUUAAACUUUCUAGAUAUACCGCCUGGAAAUGAAACUGAAGUUAACUAUAACACUUGAGAAUAGGAAUUAUAUUAGGUUUUCAAACUAACUAGGGUUAAGUAGAAAUGAAAGUUUAGUCUGUAAACUUUUAUAAAGGGAAUACCACACUAGAUCUAAGUAGUUAGAGAAAUUAGAAUAAUAAAGGAAUCUCACUGAUUCUAAUUAAAAAGGAAUAUGUUGUGGUUUGAUACCUAAGAUUUGGAACCUAAUGUCUGUAUUUUGAAUUGUUCUAGCUCAUGUAAAUAUUUUGUACGUAUUGUUCUUUUCUUAUAAACAAAGCUUAUUUCCAGAA